MicroRNA precursor from Oryza sativa Japonica Group (Japanese rice), 204 nucleotides. It matches the Rfam family "MIR812 microRNA precursor family". Lineage: Eukaryota; Viridiplantae; Streptophyta; Magnoliopsida; Poales; Poaceae. The record is from Rfam.
AAAAAGGCAAAUCUUGUAUUUCCGUGUCCAACUUUAACUGUCCGUCUUAAUAAAAUUUUUUUAUAAUUUGUAUUUUCAUUUGUGUUAGAUGAUAAAACAUGAUUAAUAUUUUAUGCGUGACUUGUCUUUUUAAUUUUUUUCAUAUUUUUUUCAAAUAAGACGGACGGUCAAACGUUGGACACGAAAAUCAGGGUUUGUCUUUUU